AAGGCUUGACAUACGCCAGAUGCCUCUGGAGACAGGGGUUCCUUUUGGGCUGGUGUACAGGUGGUGCAUGGCUGUCGUCAGCUCGUGUCGUGAGAUGUUGGGUUAAGUCCCGCAACGAGCGCAACCCUUAUCCUGUGUUGCCAGCACGCUCUCUUUUUGGGGGUGGUGGGGACUCACGGGAGACUGCCGGGGUCAACUCGGAGGAAGGUGGGGAUGACGUACCAGUAUCGGAA
This 233-nucleotide unclassified non-coding RNA is filed under the name uncultured Actinomycetes bacterium. RNAcentral describes it as "uncultured actinobacterium contains 16S-23S intergenic spacer region". It matches the Rfam family "Bacterial small subunit ribosomal RNA", at positions 978 to 1198 of the family's 1533-position model. Lineage: Bacteria; Bacillati; Actinomycetota; Actinomycetes. The record is from RNAcentral.